ACGGGAGGCAGCAGUGGGGGAUAUUGCACAAUGGGCGCAAGCCUGAUGCAGCGACGCCGCGUGAGUGAAGAAGUAUUUCGGUAUGUAAAGCUCUAUCAGCAGGGAAGAAAAUGACGGUACCUGACUAAGAAGCUCCGGCUAAAUACGUGCCAGCAGCCGCGGUAAUACGUAUGGAGCAAGCGUUAUCCGGAUUUACUGGGUGUAAAGGGAGCGCAGACGGCAUGGCAAGCCAGAUGUGAAAGGUGGGGGCUCAACCCCCAAGCUGCAUUUGGAACUGUCAAGCUAGAGUAUCGGAGAGGUAAGUGGAAUUCCUAGUGUAGCGGUGAAAUGCGUAGAUAUUAGGAGGAACACCAGUGGCGAAGGCGGCUUACUGGACGAUAACUGACGUUGAGGCUCGAAAGCGUGGGGAGCAAACAGGAUUAGAUACCCUGGUA
This 434-nucleotide ribosomal RNA is filed under the name uncultured Lachnospiraceae bacterium. RNAcentral's name for it is "bacterial SSU rRNA". It matches the Rfam family "Bacterial small subunit ribosomal RNA", at positions 341 to 792 of the family's 1533-position model. Lineage: Bacteria; Bacillati; Bacillota; Clostridia; Lachnospirales; Lachnospiraceae. The record is from RNAcentral.